CAGCCGCCACGGGAAUACGUAGGGUGCGAGCGUUAAUCGGAAUUACUGGGCGUAAAGCGAGCGCAGACGGUUAUUUAAGCAGGAUGUGAAAUCCCCGGGCUUAACCUGGGAACUGCGUUCUGAACUGGAUAGCUAGAGUGUGUCAGAGGGGGGUAGAAUUCCACGUGUAGCAGUGAAAUGCGUAGAGAUGUGGAGGAAUACCGAUGGCGAAGGCAGCCCCCUGGGAUAACACUGACGUUCAUGCUCGAAAGCGUGGGUAGCAAACAGGAUUAGAUACCCGUGUAGUCCCUGUCUCUUAUAC
This 301-nucleotide ribosomal RNA is filed under the name uncultured bacterium. Its description in RNAcentral is "partial 16S ribosomal RNA". It matches the Rfam family "Bacterial small subunit ribosomal RNA", at positions 509 to 807 of the family's 1533-position model. The record is from RNAcentral.